This 253-nucleotide ribosomal RNA is filed under the name uncultured bacterium. RNAcentral's name for it is "partial 16S ribosomal RNA". It matches the Rfam family "Bacterial small subunit ribosomal RNA", at positions 524 to 776 of the family's 1533-position model. The record is from RNAcentral.
GACGUAGGUGGCGAGCGUUGUUCGGAAUCACUGGGCCUAAAGCGCACGUAGGCGGCUAGGUCAGUCGGAUGUGAAAUACCUCGGCUCAACCGAGGAACUGCGUCCGAUACUGCCUGGCUUGAGGUCCGGAGGGGAGAGUGGAAUUCCCAGUGUAGCGGUGAAAUGCGUAGAGAUGUGGAGGAACACCAGUGGCGAAGGCGACUCUUUGGCCUGUAACUGACGCUGAGGCGCGAAAGCGUGGGGAGCAAACAGG